UCUGCCCUUGGGUUCGGGAUAACCGUUGGAAACGACGGCUAAUACCGGAUGAUGACGUAAGUCCAAAGAUUUAUCGCCCAGGGAUGAGCCCGCGUAGGAUUAGCUAGUUGGUGGGGUAAAGGCCUACCAAGGCGACGAUCCUUAGCUGGUCUGAGAGGAUGAUCAGCCACACUGGGACUGAGACACGGCCCANACUCCUACGGGAGGCAGCAGUGGGGAAUAUUGGACAAUGGGCGAAAGCCUGAUCCAGCAAUGCCGCGUGAGUGAUGAAGGCCUUAGGGUUGUAAAGCUCUUUUACCCGGGAUGAUAAUGACAGUACCGGGAGAAUAAGCCCCGGCUAACUCCGUGCCAGCAGCCGCGGUAAUACGGAGGGGGCUAGCGUUGUUCGGAAUUACUGGGCGUAAAGCGCACGUAGGCGGCUUUGUAAGUUAGAGGUGAAA
This 440-nucleotide ribosomal RNA is filed under the name uncultured bacterium. Its description in RNAcentral is "bacterial SSU rRNA". It matches the Rfam family "Bacterial small subunit ribosomal RNA", at positions 125 to 599 of the family's 1533-position model. The record is from RNAcentral.